CCAAUAGCGUAUAUUAAAGUUGUUGCAGUUAAAAAGCUCGUAGUUGAAUUUCGGGAUCAAUAUAUCGGUCGUGCCAUCGGUACGUACUGGUAUCAUUGGUUUCUCCUUUCUGACGAACCAUGAUGUCAUUAAUUUGGUGUUAUGGGAAGUUAGGACUGUUACUUUGAAAAAAUUAGAGUGUUUAAAGCAGGCAUUAGCUUGAAUACAUUAGCAUGGAAUAAUGAAAUAGGACGUUCGAACCUAUUUUGUUGGUUUCUAGGAUCAACGUAAUGAUUAAUAGGGAUAGUUGGGGGCAUUAGUAUUCAAUUGUCAGAGGUGAAAUUCUUGGAUUUAUUGAAGACUAACUACUGCGAAAGCAUUUGCCAAGGAUGUUUUCAUUAAUCAAGAACGAAAGUUAGGGGAUCGAAGACGAUCAGAUACCGUCGUAGUCUUAACCAUAAACUAUGCCGACUAGGGAUCGGAUGAUGUUAAUUUUUUAAUGACUCAUUCGGCGCCUUACG
RNAcentral lists this ribosomal RNA (500 nucleotides) under uncultured Glomeromycotina. Its description in RNAcentral is "partial small subunit ribosomal RNA". It matches the Rfam family "Eukaryotic small subunit ribosomal RNA", at positions 591 to 1092 of the family's 1831-position model. Lineage: Eukaryota; Fungi; Glomeromycota. The record is from RNAcentral.